Molecule: ribosomal RNA, 370 nt
Filed under: uncultured organism
Description: bacterial SSU rRNA
Rfam family: Bacterial small subunit ribosomal RNA
Source: RNAcentral
CGUAGGGUGCAAGCGUUAAUCGGAAUUACUGGGCGUAAAGCGUGCGCAGGCGGUGAUGUAAGACAGUUGUGAAAUCCCCGGGCUCAACCUGGGAACUGCAUCUGUGACUGCAUCGCUGGAGUACGGCAGAGGGGGAUGGAACUCCGCGUGUAACAGUGAAAUGCGUGGAUAUGCGGAGGAACACCGAUGACGAAAACAAUCCCCUGAACCUGUACUAACGCUCAUGCACGAAAGCGUAAAGAGCAAACAGGAUUAAAUACCCUGAUAGUCCACACCCUAAACGAUGUCAACUAAUUGUUGGAUCUUCACUAACUCAGUAACGAAACUAACGCGUGAAGUUGACCACCUAAAGAGUACGGCCGCAAGGUUG